GGCUUUGCCCGCGGCGUAUUUUUGGCACCCCGAGGCCCUGCGCAAAGUCUCGCCCCAUUCCGAGUCCGGCGGACGAACUUCGCCCGCGCCCCCCACCAAGGCUAUAGCCCACCCGUUUUUUGGCCAUUUUUCCGCUGGGGGGUUUUGGCACCACGACCUUCGGGCGCUUAUUUUUGGGCGUGGUUUUGCCCGCAGCUUAUUUUUGGCGCCCCGAGGCCCCGCGCAAAGUCUCGCCCCAUUCCGAGUCCGGCGGAC
This 255-nucleotide long non-coding RNA is filed under the name Citrus x clementina. RNAcentral's name for it is "Citrus clementina (C. clementina) long non-coding RNA (CCLE_LNC000664)". Lineage: Eukaryota; Viridiplantae; Streptophyta; Magnoliopsida; Sapindales; Rutaceae. The record is from RNAcentral.